RNAcentral lists this unclassified non-coding RNA (282 nucleotides) under plant metagenome. Its description in RNAcentral is "partial contains small subunit ribosomal RNA, internal transcribed spacer 1, and 5.8S ribosomal RNA". The stretch from base 1 to 51 matches the Rfam family "Eukaryotic small subunit ribosomal RNA", at positions 1781 to 1831 of the family's 1831-position model. The record is from RNAcentral.
GGAAGUAAACGUAACAAGGUUUCCGUAGGUGAACCUGCGGAAGGAUCAUUAUUGUAUAACCGAGGUGCGAGGGCUGUCGCUGACCCGAAAGGUCGUGCACGCCCGAGUGCCCUCACACACAUCCAUCUCACCCCUAUGUGCACCACCGCGUGGGUCCCCCUUUGGCUUGUUCGGAGGGGGGCUUACGUUUUCACACAAACUUUGUAUGCAGUGUAGAAUGUAUUUUUUGUUUUUGCGAUCACGCAAUCAAUACAACUUUCAACAACGGAUCUCUUGGCUCUC